GACGAACGCUGGCGGCGUGCUUAACACAUGCAAGUCGAACGAUGAAGCUAGAGCUUGCUCUGGUGGAUUAGUGGCGAACGGGUGAGUAACACGCGAGUAACCUGCCCCGAACUCUGGGAUAACUGCUGGAAACGGUAGCUAAUACCGGAUAUGACCAAUGAAGGCAUCUUCUGUUGGUGGAAAGAAUUUCGGUUCGGGAUGGACUCGCGGCCUAUCAGCUUGUUGAUGAGGUAACGGCUCACCAAGGCGACGACGGGUAGCCGGCCUGAGAGGGUGAUCGGCCACAUUGGGACUGAGACACGGCCCAGACUCCUACGGGAGGCAGCAGUGGGGAAUAUUGCACAAUGGGCGCAAGCCUGAUGCAGCGACGCCGCGUGAGGGAUGAAGGUCUUCGGAUUGUAAACCUCUUUCAGUAGGGACGAAGCGAAAGUGACGGUACCUAAAGAAGAAGCACCGGCUAACUACGUGCCAGCCGCCGCCGUAA
This 484-nucleotide ribosomal RNA is filed under the name uncultured bacterium. Its description in RNAcentral is "partial 16S ribosomal RNA". It matches the Rfam family "Bacterial small subunit ribosomal RNA", at positions 28 to 523 of the family's 1533-position model. The record is from RNAcentral.